This is a long non-coding RNA of Neogale vison (American mink), 204 nucleotides long. RefSeq lists it as uncharacterized. The transcript has 3 exons. NCBI's taxonomy places the organism in Eukaryota, Metazoa, Chordata, Mammalia, Carnivora, Mustelidae. The record is from RefSeq and is a predicted model, not a curated record.
AGUGACGGAGUUUUGAAGUAGCUUGGAACCGAACCUACAGUAUCUUCAGUGUAUGCUUGUAUGCACCUGCUCCGUUCUAUCCUUAAAGCAUCAAAGUCAACCAACCCAGAUUCUAUGCUGCAUGCCCUGUGCUUAGUCCAGACUUCUAUUAAAGCAAUUGCUGGUGGUUUUUAGUUCUCCUCAUGAAACUUGUUUUCCUCCUCG